RNAcentral lists this transfer RNA (79 nucleotides) under Nannocystis exedens. RNAcentral describes it as "tRNA_His_GTG". It matches the Rfam family "tRNA". From Rfam's summary of the family: Transfer RNA (tRNA) molecules are approximately 80 nucleotides in length. The record is from RNAcentral. Lineage: Bacteria; Pseudomonadati; Myxococcota; Nannocystales; Nannocystaceae.
GCGAUUAUAGCUCAGCUGGUUAGAGCGCUCGGUUGUGGUCCGAGAGGUCAUGGGUUCGAAUCCCAUUAAUCGCCCUCCA